This 1281-nucleotide long non-coding RNA is filed under the name Pogona vitticeps (central bearded dragon). RNAcentral describes it as "lncRNA (ENSPVIG00000016629.1)". Lineage: Eukaryota; Metazoa; Chordata; Lepidosauria; Squamata; Agamidae. The record is from RNAcentral.
AGUCAUUUGAUGAGCAUGUGGAGCUCACAGAUGCACAGAGAAUCAGAGUUUUGGCUCACAUGCAGAGGCUACCCAGGUACUGUAUAACAACUUCCCACUUCACUCUAAGUAAAGAUGUGGUUGUGGCAUCUACUCAGCCAUGCAGUGUAAGAAGAUUGACCUUCGUCAGCCACACCACUUGUUCUGUAGUUCUCAAGACAGCCUGCAGUCUUCAGGAGAAGGAUGCCUGGCCACUACAACCAGGCUUCCUUCUGCCAGCGGGCCUAGGUCUCAUUGUUAUGCAAACACGACCAGGGCUCCGAGAAGCUAAAGGCGCCUCUCUUGCGAUGGGAGUGAUUGAGAGGCCUGCUCCAGGCUUGUCAGAUAAAGGCUGCAGGAUUUGUGUUUAGCUUCCUCCGAUCCUCGCCCCGCACAAUCGGUCUGAUCCGCCGCUGGUCUUGAUGGGCAGCCUUGGAGGCAUAAAUCUUAAUCAGCCACCGACGAAAACGGAAGGGAGCAGAGCCCAGCGGUGGACACGGGAGGAAAUGUGUCCUUUCACAGCUCUUUGUGCUCUGCCCCCCUUCCCCCGCUCACACAAAGCACGGUUCGCAAAGGGCAGGAGGAGAGAGACAACGAGGUGGAGAAAAUAUGCAGAGCACAACCUGCUGUCACUAUGCCCAGAAGAACGCUUCUUCAUAAAGGCUUUCAGAAGUCCUCCUUAGGAAGUUAACUCCUGGAAUGGGAGAGGCAGCUCAGAAAUUUUGGACCUGGGUGGAAAAGAGCUAGCCAGCAAUGGAGAUCUGUGUUGUAGGAUUUGGCAUAUUGUGCCCCUUUUGGAUGAGCAAGGAUGGCACAGACCCUCACACUUCCCUAUUACCUCAGGGCUUAGCCGAGUUCUCAAGUAACUAACAAGAAAUUGGAUCAUCUCACUAACAACAUACAGUUUUGACCCAGCCUUCUUGGAUAGACAAGGUCCGUUAUAUUUACAAAAGACCUGAUCAUAUUGGGAAAGUGCUAGAAUUAGUCUGUUGAUAUCACUGAAUACAAUUGCUUAGAUUAUUCUUAUGGGCAUGUCUGUGAGGAUUUAUUGUGAGGAGCCCCUGCAUUUGCAAAUUUGCCAUCACCUCCCUGACUUGGAUCUCUGUGGGAAGAAGACUGAAUGCUUAUUUCAUGACCCACUGUGCAAAUUGUUUGUGUCUGUUUAUAGUUGAUUUGAGAGUAGGAUAUGGCUGUAGGUGGAGGGUGUAAUGGAACCUGGCAUUCAUUAGAAUAAAUCAUUUCUCUGGAAAAUAUAAAUGUGCA